RNAcentral lists this small nucleolar RNA (138 nucleotides) under Ornithorhynchus anatinus (platypus). Lineage: Eukaryota; Metazoa; Chordata; Mammalia; Monotremata; Ornithorhynchidae. The record is from RNAcentral.
CCCCUCUCAAGAUGGCACCUGGAGAGUUUCCAGUACUCUACCAGUCUCUGCAAUGGGAGGGAGAAUCAAGCAGAGGCCUACCCAUUCCAUUCCUAGCUUGGCCAGUGGCUAGCGAGUGGAAAGCAAUCUGCUACAAAA